GUAAUCAGUCAAUUUAGUCCCUAAACUAUCACUCUCUCACCAAUUCAGUCCCUAAACUAUUAAAACCAACUAAAAGGUCCCUAAACUAUUUUUCAUCCAUCAAUUAGGUCCCUAAACUAUUAAAACCAACUAAAAGGUCCCUAAACUAUUUUUCAUCCAUCAAUUAAGUCCCUAAACUAUUUUCCAUCCAUCAAUUUAGUCCUCCAUUAUCUUUUCCGUUAACUGUUCUUUAAAACCCUAAAAUCCAAAAGCUACUUUUACGCUUAUAUCUCUCUUCUCGAUCAACUCUUUCAACUCCAUUAAUUUAGUCCUCCGUCACCAACUCUUUUUUCUUCAACCCCCUUCAAUUGCAUCUUCUUAUCUCUCUCUUCUCGAUCAACUCUCUCAAAUCAUCUCAAUCUGAAAACCCUAGCGCCACCUAUAUGCUCCAAUUCCGGUUGUCGUCGUUGUUUUAAGGUACGUUUUUC
Molecule: long non-coding RNA, 467 nt
Filed under: Trifolium pratense (red clover)
Lineage: Eukaryota; Viridiplantae; Streptophyta; Magnoliopsida; Fabales; Fabaceae
Description: long non-coding RNA (TPRA_LNC000328)
Source: RNAcentral